RNAcentral lists this ribosomal RNA (497 nucleotides) under uncultured bacterium. RNAcentral describes it as "partial 16S ribosomal RNA". It matches the Rfam family "Bacterial small subunit ribosomal RNA", at positions 28 to 507 of the family's 1533-position model. The record is from RNAcentral.
GACGAACGCUGGCGGCGUGCCUAAUACAUGCCAGUCGAACGCUGAAGAGAGGAGCUUGCUCUUCUUGGAUGAGUUGCGAACGGGUGAGUAACGCGUAGGUAACCUGCCUGGUAGCGGGGGAUAACUAUUGGAAACGAUAGCUAAUACCGCAUAAAAUGGAUUAUCGCAUGAUAAUCCAUUGAAAGGUGCAAAUGCAUCACUACCAGAUGGACCUGCGUUGUAUUAGCUAGUUGGUGGGGUAACGGCUCACCAAGGCGACGAUACAUAGCCGACCUGAGAGGGUGAUCGGCCACACUGGGACUGAGACACGGCCCAGACUCCUACGGGAGGCAGCAGUAGGGAAUCUUCGGCAAUGGACGGAAGUCUGACCGAGCAACGCCGCGUGAGUGAAGAAGGUUUUCGGAUCGUAAAGCUCUGUUGUAAGAGAAGAACGAGGGUGAGAGUGGAAAGUUCACACUGUGACGGUAUCUUACCAGAAAGGGACGGCUAACUACGUG